UACGGAGGGUGCAAGCGUUAAUCGGAAUUACUGGGCGUAAAGCGUGCGUAGGUGGUUCGUUAAGUCCGUUGUGAAAGCCCCGAGCUCAACUUGGGAAUUGCAGUGGAUACUGGCGAGCUAGAGUGCGGUAGAGGAAGGUGGAAUUCCCGGUGUAGCGGUGAAAUGCGUAGAGAUCGGGAGGAACACCAGUGGCGAAGGCGGCCUUCUGGACCAGCACUGACACUCAGGCACGAAAGCGUGGGGAGCAAACAGG
RNAcentral lists this ribosomal RNA (253 nucleotides) under uncultured bacterium. RNAcentral describes it as "partial 16S ribosomal RNA". It matches the Rfam family "Bacterial small subunit ribosomal RNA", at positions 524 to 776 of the family's 1533-position model. The record is from RNAcentral.